Long non-coding RNA from Propithecus coquereli (Coquerel's sifaka), 306 nucleotides. RefSeq lists it as uncharacterized. The record is from RefSeq and is a predicted model, not a curated record. The transcript is spliced from 3 exons. NCBI's taxonomy places the organism in Eukaryota, Metazoa, Chordata, Mammalia, Primates, Indriidae.
AGAUGCUUCACUAUUAAAAUAUUUUUUCCCCCCAAGGCUCAAAUAUUGAAGAGUCUCAAACCAGGGACACCAGCAGCCCCAGCGAAGACCUCGGGCGAUUUCAAAGUGGGGGCACCUCAAUUCCCCGAAUCUGUGGUGUGGCCGGUAUCGGUGUUCCCCCGAUUUAACUAGCCUGUUUGAAGGUGCAAAUCAUUCAUGGAGAAGUACAACUGAAACCAGUCCUCCCCGCCCCCCACAAGGGUCUUCGCUUUCCCAGUCUACAUCUCUGCCUGUGACUCCAGAAAGACAAACUUCAGAUUGACCAAG